This is a non-coding RNA of Mycena galopus ATCC 62051, 84 nucleotides long. The record is from the annotation of a GenBank genome assembly. Lineage: Eukaryota; Fungi; Basidiomycota; Agaricomycetes; Agaricales; Mycenaceae.
GCCUUCAUGGCUCAGUUGUUAAUACUGCUGCAGCACAGCCACUUCAUUGUGGCGUGGUCCAGGGUUCGAUUCCCUGUGGAGGCA